AUGAAAUUUAUAAUUCGUACUCUACCAAAAAUUGGUCAUAGCCAAACCGCUUAUCUUAGCAUUGCGGCAAGCGAGCGCGUGACUGACAACUCGGGCGCACCAUUUCCGACGGCUCAGAUCGCCUUUCCCCAGAAUCCAACGGCGGCGCCGCCUCUCACCACCUCAGCAGCGUUGGAAACCCAGAUCUCCUCUUGCCCGAGAUCCAAAGCACCUUCCUCCUCCCCACCCAUCGGCCAUUCCCUCCCUCCCCCCCCCCCNNNNNNNNNNNNNNNNNNNNNNNNNNNCCCACCCCUCCCCCGCUCCUCUCCGCGGCCAGGGCCAGGGGCCGCCGCCGCCGUCGCCGGGGACGACGCGCCGCCGGCGGGGGAACGGAAGAUGCUGACCAAGUUCGAGACCAAGAGCAACCGGGUCAAGGGCCUGAGCUUCCACCCGCGGCGGCCAUGGAUCCUCGCCAGCCUCCACAGCGGGGUGAUCCAGAUGUGGGACUACCGCAUGGGCACCCUCCUCGACCGCUUCGACGAGCACGACGGCCCCGUCCGCGGCGUCCACUUCCACGCCACCCAGCCCCUCUUCGUCUCCGGAGGUGAUGAUUAUAAGAUCAAGGUGUGGAAUUACAAGACACACCGCUGCUUGUUUACGCUUACUGGGCAUCUCGACUACAUUCGUACUGUUCAAUUCCACCAUGAGUACCCAUGGAUCGUGAGUGCCAGUGAUGACCAGACAAUCCGGAUCUGGAACUGGCAGUCACGUACUUGUGUGGCUGUGCUCACGGGGCAUAAUCACUAUGUCAUGUGCGCGUCCUUCCACCCCAAGGAGGACCUGGUUGUGUCAGCAUCGCUAGAUCAGACUGUCCGUGUUUGGGAUAUUGGUGCCCUGAGGAAGAAGACGGUGUCACCUGCAGAUGACAUCCUGCGUCUCACUCAGAUGAACACUGAUCUGUUUGGGGGCGUCGAUGCGGUUGUGAAAUAUGUCUUGGAAGGCCAUGACCGUGGUGUCAACUGGGCAUCAUUUCACCCUACACUGCCACUCAUUGUUUCUGGGGCUGAUGACCGGCAAGUGAAGCUGUGGAGAAUGAAUGAUACCAAGGCUUGGGAAGUUGAUACUUUGAGGGGGCACAUGAAUAAUGUGUCGUGUGUGAUGUUCCAUGCGAAGCAAGACAUCAUUGUGUCCAACUCAGAGGACAAAAGCAUUCGCAUUUGGGAUGCCACAAAGCGAACUGGUAUUCAGACAUUUAGGCGGGAACAUGACCGUUUCUGGAUCCUUGCUGCCCACCCUGAAAUGAAUCUUCUUGCUGCUGGUCAUGACAGUGGCAUGAUUGUGUUUAAAUUAGAGAGGGAACGCCCAGCUUUCAGCGUGAGUGCUGAUACUGUGUUCUAUGUGAAGGACAGAUUCCUCCGGUUCUUUGAGUACUCCACCCAGAAGGAAGUUCAGGUGGCUCCAAUAAGAAGACCAGGAUCUGUCAGCUUGAACCAGUCACCCAGGACACUAUCUUAUAGUCCAACUGAAAAUGCUGUGUUGAUCUGCUCUGAUGUGGACGGGGGCUCAUAUGAUCUGUACAUUGUUCCUAAAGAUUCUGCUGGCAGGGCUGAUUAUUUGCAAGAGGCAAAGAAGGGAGCUGGUGGCUCGGCUGUUUUUGUGGCACGGAAUAGGUUUGCUGUCCUUGAGAAGAGUAGCAAUCAAGUUUUGGUGAAGAAUCUUAAGAACGAAAUUGUGAAGAAGAGUCCUCUUCCUAUUGCGACUGAUGCAAUUUAUUAUGCUGGGACUGGUAAUUUGUUGUGCAAAGCUGAAGAUCGUGUGACCAUCUUUGAUCUACAACAAAGGCUAGUUCUUGGUGAACUCCAGUCAGCUGGUGUUAAAUAUGUAGUUUGGUCCAGUGACAUGGAGUAUGUUGCACUGCUGAGCAAGCAUGCAGUAGUUAUAGCUAGCAAGAAGCUUGUCCAUCACUCUACACUGCAUGAAACUAUUCGUGUGAAAAGUGGUGCCUGGGAUGAGAACGGUGUUUUUAUUUACUCUACUUUGAACCAUAUCAAAUACUGUCUUCCCAAUGGAGAUAGUGGGAUCAUAAAGACCCUUGAUGUCCCUGUUUACAUAACAAGGGUUAUUGGGAACAACAUUUUCUGUCUUGAUCGUGAUGGAAAGAACAAGCUGAUAACAGUUGAUGCUUCUGAAUACAUUUUCAAGCUCGCCCUUCUCCGGAAACGUUAUGACCAUGUUAUGAGUAUGAUUAAGAGCUCACAGCUGUGUGGGCAGGCAGUGAUUUCAUAUUUGCAACAGAAAGGGUUUCCAGAAGUUGCUCUCCACUUUGUGAAAGAUGAAAAGACAAGAUUCAAUCUAGCUCUUGAAAGUGGUAACAUCCAAAUCGCAGUGGCUUCUGCAAAAGAGAUUGAUGACAAGGAUCACUGGUACAGAUUGGGAAUUGAGGCCCUGAGGCAGGGGAAUGUUGGUAUUGUGGAAUACGCAUACCAGCGGACAAAGAAUUUUGAGAGGCUGACAUUUCUGUAUCUUAUUACUGGUUACAUGGACAAGGUUGGCUUCAUGUGCAAAAUUGCCGGACAGAAUAACAAUUUGAUGGGUCAGUUCCACAAUGCAUUGUAUCUUGGCGAUGCUAGGAAGCGAGCUGAGAUCCUGGAGAAUGCUGGACAGCUUCCUCUUGCCUACGUCACUGCUGCCACUCAUGGUCUCACUGAAAUUGCUGAAAGGCUUGCUGCUGAGUUGGGUGAGAAUGUUCCUUCUCUACCUGAAGGAAAAACUCGCUCACUCUUGAUUCCGCCCGCACCCCUCAUAUCCAGCGUUGAUUGGCCAUUGCUCCGGGUGAUGCGUGGCAUAUUUGAGGGUGGACUGGAUGCUACUGGGAGAGCAGAAGUUGAGGAAGAUGAUGAAGCUGCUGGUGCUGACUGGGGUGAUGAGGACUUGGAUAUUGUGGAUGCAAGUGAUGCAGUGGCAAAUGGAGGUGAUGGUUUUGAUCCCGAGGAAGGUGAAGCGAACGAGGAGGAUGGUGAGGAAGGUGGUUGGGAUCUUGAAGAUCUGGAAUUGCCUGAAGCUGAGACCCCAAAAGCUGCUGGAAAUGCUCGCUCCACUGUGUUUGUUGCUCCUACACCAGGAAUGCCUGUCAGCCAAAUUUGGACUCAGAAAUCUUCUCUUGCUGGGGAGCAUGCAGCAGCAGGCAACUUCGACACUGCAAUGAGGUUGCUCAGCCGCCAGUUGGGCAUCAAGAACUUUGCUCCCCUGAAACCCAUGUUUCUCGAUCUUCAUAUGGGCAGUCAUUCAUAUCUUCGCGCACUUGCAACUGCUCCCGUUAUAUCAAUUGCUGUUGAGAAAGGUUGGAGUGAGUCCUCAAGUCCUAACGUGAGGGGCCCUCCUUCACUAGUUUUCACCUUCUCACAAAUGGAAGACAGACUCAAGGCAGCCUACAAAGCCACAACCGAGGGAAAGUUCCCAGAAGCGCUGAGACAGUUCCUCAGCAUCUUGCAUACCAUUCCCUUGAUCGUGGUGGACUCGCGGAGAGAAGUUGAUGAAGUGAAGGAGUUGAUCGAGAUAGUGAGGGAAUAUGUUCUUGGUCUAAGAAUGGAACUCAAGAGGAAGGAAUUGAAGGACAACGUCAACCGGCAACAGGAACUGGCGGCCUACUUCACCAACUGCAAGCUCCAGAGGGUUCACAUGCGCCUUGUGCUCUCGAACGCCAUGGCUCUAUGCUACAAGCAGAAGAACUUUGCGACCGCAGAGCACUUUGCGAGGCUGCUCCUUGAGAACAGCCCUAAUGAGGUCCAAGCGAAGAAGGCUCGGCAGGUGCAGCAGCAGUGCAACGGCAAGAAGGACAGCCAUGAGCUCAACUAUGACUACAGAAAUCCGUUCGUCGUCUGUGGCUCGACGUAUGUUCCCAUCUACCGCGGCCAAAAGGACAUCUCGUGCCCAUACUGCGGAUCCCGGUUUGUUCCUGCCAUUGAAGGGCAGCUUUGUACCAUAUGCGAGCUGGCUGUGGUCGGCGCGGACGCCUCGGGCCUCCUGUGCUCCCCUACACAGACGAGAUGA
RNAcentral lists this ribosomal RNA (4029 nucleotides) under Triticum aestivum (bread wheat). RNAcentral's name for it is "partial small subunit ribosomal RNA". The record is from RNAcentral. Lineage: Eukaryota; Viridiplantae; Streptophyta; Magnoliopsida; Poales; Poaceae.